This 379-nucleotide ribosomal RNA is filed under the name uncultured cyanobacterium. RNAcentral's name for it is "bacterial SSU rRNA". It matches the Rfam family "Bacterial small subunit ribosomal RNA", at positions 376 to 770 of the family's 1533-position model. The record is from RNAcentral. Lineage: Bacteria; Bacillati; Cyanobacteriota.
CGAAAGCCUGACGGAGCAACGCCGCGUGUGGGAAGAAGGCUCUUGGGCUGUCAACCACUUUUCUCAGGGAAGAAGUUCUGACGGUACCUGAGGAAUCAGCCUCGGCUAACUCCGUGCCAGCAGCCGCGGUAAUACGGAGGAGGCAAGCGUUAUUCGGAAUUAUUGGGCGUAAAGCGUCCGCAGGGGGCUCAUCAAGUCUGCUGUCAAAGCUCGGAGCUCAACUCCGACCCGGCAGUGGAAACUGGGGAGCUAGAGGGCGGCAGGGGCAGAAGGAAUUCCCGGUGUAGCGGUGAAAUGCGUAGAUAUCGGGAAGAACACCAGAGGCGAAAGCGUUCUGCUGGGCCGCACCUGACCCUCAGGGACGAAAGCUAAGGUAGCG